RNAcentral lists this non-coding RNA (106 nucleotides) under Spirosoma montaniterrae. RNAcentral describes it as "SAM-I sequence". It matches the Rfam family "SAM riboswitch aptamer (S box leader)". Rfam says of the family: The SAM riboswitch is found upstream of a number of genes which code for proteins involved in methionine or cysteine biosynthesis in Gram-positive bacteria. The record is from Rfam by way of RNAcentral. Lineage: Bacteria; Pseudomonadati; Bacteroidota; Cytophagia; Cytophagales; Cytophagaceae.
AGCUUAUCAAGAAAGACGGAGGGACUGGACCCUGCGAUGUCUUGGCAACCGGCCACCUGGCACCGGUGCCACAUUCCACCCCAACCCAGAACGGGGCAGAUAAGGU